This 68-nucleotide transfer RNA is filed under the name Anomopsocus sp. AnspLA. Its description in RNAcentral is "tRNA-Lys". It matches the Rfam family "tRNA". Rfam says of the family: Transfer RNA (tRNA) molecules are approximately 80 nucleotides in length. Their secondary structure includes four short double-helical elements and three loops (D, anti-codon, and T loops). Lineage: Eukaryota; Metazoa; Arthropoda; Insecta; Psocodea; Lachesillidae. The record is from RNAcentral.
CAUUAGAUGGCUGAAUUUAAAGUAUUGGUCUCUUAAAUCAAAUUAUAGUGUUUAUACACUUCUAAUGA